Non-coding RNA from Pangasius djambal, 72 nucleotides. Lineage: Eukaryota; Metazoa; Chordata; Actinopteri; Siluriformes; Pangasiidae. The record is from the annotation of a GenBank genome assembly.
GGUUCCAUGGUGUAAUGGUUAGCACUCUAGAAUUUGAAUCUACUGUUCUGAGUUCAACUCUCAGUGGGACCU